AGACUCAACUGGUAAAGAGUUUGAUUAUUCUUGCUACUUUCUCAGGCCACAAGCACCUGGGGUUCUGCUGCCAGAUUGCGGUGGGCUGGCUGGAGCAUAAGGGAGAAGAUGAAUGCCAUGGAUGGUCUUCAUGACAGCAAAGACCUGGCAGCCUGAAGUGGCACACCUGAAGAUGUACAAGUUCGGUCAGGAUCGGCUUAGACAGCAGGACAAAACCCCCAAACAUCUAGA
Non-coding RNA from Pantherophis guttatus, 231 nucleotides. Lineage: Eukaryota; Metazoa; Chordata; Lepidosauria; Squamata; Colubridae. The record is from RefSeq and is a predicted model, not a curated record.